RNAcentral lists this ribosomal RNA (465 nucleotides) under uncultured bacterium. Its description in RNAcentral is "partial 16S ribosomal RNA". It matches the Rfam family "Bacterial small subunit ribosomal RNA", at positions 28 to 507 of the family's 1533-position model. The record is from RNAcentral.
GAUGAACGCUGGCGGCGUGCUUAACACAUGCAAGUCGAACGGAAAGGCUCCUGCUUUCAGGGGUACUCGAGUGGCGAACGGGUGAGUAACACGUGGGUGAUCUGCCCUGCACUUCGGGAUAAGCCUGGGAAACUGGGUCUAAUACCGGAUAGGACGAUGGUUUGGAUGCCAUUGUGGAAAGUUUUUCGGUGGGGGAUGAGCUCGCGGCCUAUCAGCUUGUUGGUGGGGUAGUGGCCUACCAAGGCGUCGACGGGUAGCCGGCCUGAGAGGGUGUACGGCCACAUUGGGACUGAGAUACGGCCCAGACUCCUACGGGAGGCAGCAGUGGGGAAUAUUGCACAAUGGGCGCAAGCCUGAUGCAGCGACGCCGCGUGGGGGAUGACGGCCUUCGGGUUGUAAACUCCUUUCGCUAGGGACGAAGCGCAAGUGACGGUACCUGGAGAAGAAGCACCGGCUAACUACGUG